CCCAGGAUCGCAAGACUCAUCAACGACUACAGAGCAUGCUCAGUUUCAGAGAAACCUAAUUGAAACGUAAAUAUCUUUUCUUGCUCGCGUUGAAAGUGAGAGACACCAAGUGCUUUUUGUCCCACAUCGACAAUUUAGAGAACAACAAAAGAACUUUAUAUAGCCUGAGCUCGGCUUGGAGGUCACGACCUUACUUGGACAGGAUCUGUUCUAUAGUAAUCGUACCUCUGUAUCCUUGAUUUCUAAGGAGACAGGAAUCCCAACCUGGUGGAUGAAUCAUGACCAUCCGUGUGAUCAGAGCGUGAUUAGGAUCGUUCUCAGUCAGUUUUCACUGUCUGGGGUGGUUACACGGUUGUCUGACAGGUUCCCCCUCUUUUGUAAAAAAUUCCUUUCGUUUUGUUUUCAGUGUUUUAAUCUCUAGCUAGCUUUACAUUUGUUAAAGCAAACACAUUUACCCCUUCUGAAUACAUUUGCUUGUCACAGUUUGGAGGCCAUCCGCUUAUAAACCCACCACACUUUGGUGGCCAAUUUUCAUUAUAUUGAUGACCUGACAAUAUCAUAUAAAUUAGAGUUAAGAACAUGGACUACUUACACUACCAUCCUUUAAGUUUCAAGUGUUUUUUGUGUUUUUACACUAAUAUUCUUUGAGGUUUCAAAUUGUUUUCAUAAAAAUUCUCUAAUUAAUUUUCCAUCUUAAAAUUAUGUAAUCCUUCAGGGAUCUGCCCUUUGUUGCCUUCAAUAUGCUUUUGUAUCUUUGGCACUUGCAUGUUCAUUAAUUUUUCUGGAUUAGGCUCAAUACCUCAUUGGCUGAUGAUGAAGCCCAAGACUUUGUCGAAAGAUAAACCAAAGAACCACUUCAUUGGGUUGCGGCGUAUCUUUUAGUACUUUAGUAUGUUGAACAUCAUCGAGAGGUUAUGAAGGUGCAAAUUGGCCGUUUUUCUUUUGACCAGCAUGUCAUCCACAUAGACUUUCUUUUGUGGUUGAUAUGUUUGGCAAAUAUCUAGUUUACCAAUCACUAGUAGGUGGCUCUUGAGUUCUUCAACCCGAAGGGCAUGACAUUGUAGCAAUAGAGCCCAUUGUCUGUGAUGAAUGUCAUAUGCUUAUCAUCGGCAACGUGCGUGAAAAUAUAAUUAUACUCUAAAUAAGCAUCCAUGAAGUUAAGGAGCUCAUGGCCUGAUAUGGCAUCACUAGGGUAAUUAUAAUUCUCCUAGGAAAGUAAAACUACCUCGGAAGACUCACGUUCAACUACUCAAACUUGGUCAAACGGGCCCACGCGGCCCCAACCUCCAAAUUCUAAUCCGAAAGUUCCUAUGAGUUCUACAAGGUAUAGGACACUCCUCUUACAAGUUUGGUCCAGAUCGGACGGUCAGAUCGCUCACGAUGGCACGAUCUGACGAUUAAUAUAAACAUAAACUUUAAAUUAUUAAAUCAGAACAUACGGGGCUCCGAUUCACGAUCCGUGAAUUCCUACACGAUCCUAGAACUGCCUAGAUUAACAUAUAUUAAAUUCAAAACCAUCUAACGGUCCCAACCUAUCGAACCCGGAUAACGUGCAAUAGGCGAUAUCCGUUCGGGACUUAAAUGGUAUUUAAAUUGAAAUCCGAGCACACCUACGCACUCGUGAGAACCAGGAGAUUACAUCGGGACACAGUGCCCUUUUUCUACAGUGCCUACGCGCGGGCUGCGCGUGGGUGCCCAAAGUGAUUUCGCAUCGUCGGAAAAUCUCAAAACCACGGCUCCAAACUUCUACCCUAGGUAUAACACCCUAUUUGGAACUACUUUUGUUCUUGGACCUACCCCAAAAACUGACCGGAAGUGGCCAGAAUCGCGAUCCCAAAAUCGACCGAAUUUCAAUUCGUAAAUCGAAUUACCUACGUUAGGAAUUGAUCGAAUCCUACCCAAUAGGCAACUAGAGCAUGAAAAGUAGGUGCGAAACCAUACCUUGACCGCCAAUAAUGGCGGUCGGAGGGAGAUUGGAGCUGGCGAAGUUCGAGCAAAAACUGGUCAAAAAUCGUCUUUUUCCUGCGGCCGAUGUCGGGGAAGGGCCAGGUCGUGACGCCGAGGCCGAGCCGGUCCUUUUGGUACCGGUCCCGUCCGCAGCCGCGGUUGGUGGCUGUAGUUUCGAAGAGAGAGAGAGAGAGAGAGAGAGAGAGAGAGAGAGAGAGAGAGAGAAAUCUGAUUUUAUCAAACCAUUUUUGCCAAAAUUACGGUUAUGCCACUGAGGGUAUUUUGAUCGUAUCUCUCUCGUUACAACUCCGAUUCGAGCCCACCACGUGUCUACGGACUCAUCUCGCCGUGCUCUACGCAAUGGUACAAUAAAAAAAAUUCCAAAUUCCUUUCCGAUCAAAAAGUCAACUUUAAUCAUAAUAAAAUAUUGUAGGGGUAAAAUGGUAUUUUCUCUUAAUAAAUUAAUAUUCAGUAAUUUAUUUAGGACCAGGUCGUUACAUUUUAGAUGUCUUCUUGACCACUACAGAAUUGGCCAACCAUGUAGGGUAAUCCACAUUUCUGAUGAAGCCGAACGUGCGAAGCUUGUCUACUUUUGGUCUUCAUGGCCUCAUACUUUUUGUGGUAGAUGACAUCGGUGAAAUGCCAAGUAUAUUUCCAUAUGACAGUGCAAAGACUUCUGAAUUAUCUUUGAGGAAUUUGAUGAAAUCAACCCGAAAAGCCUCAGAAAGAUAGGUACGGAUGCAGAUAAGUGGAGGGUUAUCAAUUCCAAAUCCUUCACUAGUUGGGCUUGAGGAGUAAAAGAUUCAUCUCUUGGGUCCUCUAACCGAUUGGUGCCCUUGCGGUUAGGCAUUUGCAACGUCAUGGUAGAGACAAAGGGUUUCUGCCCUAAUGAUCAUGGGAUCUUCGUGAGGGGAAAUGAUGCCCUUCUCCUCUUCUUUGGAGAAGGUGAUCGGUUCCUUAUUUGUAUUCUGCACCUUGUAGUUGCUCUCGAAUUCGAUACCAUGGACCAUUGGGUACUGAACGUCAUGCACGCCAUUUUUUGUAGAGUUCUUGCUCGUGCCGGCAAAAGGUGGGGCCAUCACUGAUGGUCUUGAUCAUGUUGAUUUGCCUAUUAAGCUUUUUCUAUGGAGGGGGUUGGUAGCUGGGGUUGGUGGUUGGCAUAUUGCACCAGCUUGCCCUCUUGUAUCAAGCACUCCACGAUUUUGAGCCAAGAUAUGAAAGAUUAGGUAUCCUAGUCGUUGUGUUGAUGAUACCGGCAGAAGACACCCAUAUUUGCUAAAAGCCUUCUGAUGAGAUGGCUUCAGAAUGGUGUUCAACAUGGUGAACGGCCCUGGCCGAGGCUUGCUUCAGGCAGGCUAUUAGGAACGGGACUUGUCUUCCUCAAGUUUUUUUUAUCUUCUGGAAGAUGAGACAAAUGGUGAGAUCAACACUUGGGAGCUCAUCGUCUGCCGAACGGCAAGGUGAUCUUGGCAGAGGUUGUUGAGUCCCUUUACCGUUGUGCGCUAUCGAACGUUAUGGGUCUCUCUCUGGCUCUUCUUAGCCCUGGUAAAGCUCUCUCGUCAUCGGGUUGUGCCGCCAGAACGUUUCGCGAGGUGAUGCCCGUGUCAUUGGCAAUGUGUUCCUACUGAUCGGUAUGACUCUGUUGCUUCGGUAUCAAUUGGCAGUUAGACUCUAACUUAUAAGGGAGGGGGAUUUCACACACACACAUACACCUAUGAUGUCAUGGAGUUUCGAACCUGAGACCUCUGGUCUGUAAGUCAAGACCCUUUCCAUUACACUAGACCCCUGUUGGCUUAUUAAUGUUGUUUUUAAAUUAAGUAUGUAGUACUCAUUUUUAUUUUUAAGGUUUUCUUUGGGGCUAACGACAUUAUAGCCCAUAGAGGUGGGUCAUUUUCAAAUGGGCCAUGGAAUUUCAAUUUCAUCAAUUGACACAUCAACGUUGUAGAAAUUGACCAAUUUACACAUUCCGUCAAAUUCAAAGUUAUCCUAAACCCUAAAUCAUAUAUGAGGAAUUAAUAUUCUUGGUUUUUUUUUUUAAUAUAUAAAAGACUCAAAUUAAAAACCAUGCAAUAUGACUCGAUUUUUUUCCCUUGCUAUGUCUUUGUAAAUAGGUAUUAGAAAAGGCCAACUGGAACUAAAAGUGGAAGAAGGAAUGUGCCAGUGAUUCUGUCGAAAAUGGUUGGAGUGAUUGGAAGCCCAGUAUCGCGACACUCAUCAACGACUACAGAGCAUGCUCAGUUUCAGAGAAAACUAAUUGAAACGUAAAUAUCUUUUCUUGCUCGCGUUGAAAGUGAGAGACACCAAGUGCUUUUUGUCCCAUAUCGACAAUUUAGAGAACAACAAAGGACUUUAUAUGGCCUGAGCGAGGCUUCCAGGUCACGACCUUACUUGGACAGGAUCUGUUCUAUAGUAAUCGUACCUCUGUAUCCUUGAUUCCUAAGGAGACAGGAAUCCCAACCUGGUGGAUGAAUCAUGACCGUGUGAUCAGAGCGUGAUUAACAUUCUGAUGGUCCCUUGUGAUCCUCAUGACAGUAGAGGAUCGUUCUCAGUCAGUUUUCACUGCCUGGGGUGUGGUUACACGGUUGUCUGACAGGUUCCCCUCUUUUGUAAAAUCCCCCUUUCGUUCUCUUGGGUCCUCUGACCGAUUGGUGCCCUUGUGGUUAGGCAUUUGCAGCGUCAUGGUAGAGACAGAAGGUUUCUGCCCUAAUAAUCAUGGGAUUUUCGUGAGGGAAAAUGAUGCCCU
This 4690-nucleotide long non-coding RNA is filed under the name Prunus persica (peach). Its description in RNAcentral is "long non-coding RNA (PPER_LNC008219)". The stretch from base 4326 to 4543 matches the Rfam family "Plant small nucleolar RNA U3". Lineage: Eukaryota; Viridiplantae; Streptophyta; Magnoliopsida; Rosales; Rosaceae. The record is from RNAcentral.